Molecule: long non-coding RNA, 228 nt
Filed under: Urocitellus parryii (Arctic ground squirrel)
Lineage: Eukaryota; Metazoa; Chordata; Mammalia; Rodentia; Sciuridae
Description: lncRNA (ENSUPAG00010019639.1)
Source: RNAcentral
AAAGAGGGAAAGAUAGCUUUUGAGUGAUGAAAAUAGAGAUAGACUGAUAGCAAAAAGAAAAAGACCUUUGGGUCCACUUGAGCUGAGACUACAAAGACAACUGCAGCUACUACAAGAGGAAGAAGAAAUAGUCUAAGCAUCUGUUGACACUGACCAGCUAAAUAUAUCCUAAUGGAGAUCCUCAUUUCAGUCUUCUAUGUGGGGAGGGUGGCGUGAGGAAGGCCGUGG